UCGAGAGAGAAUAUUUAAUUCCACCCAGGGUCUUCCUAAUGCUGUUUGAGUGAUGCAAAGUAGAGAAGUUACUGUUGAAGGUAUUAAAUCAUUCUCUGCUUGG
RNAcentral lists this microRNA precursor (103 nucleotides) under Callithrix jacchus (white-tufted-ear marmoset). RNAcentral's name for it is "microRNA cja-mir-9946 precursor". The record is from miRBase by way of RNAcentral. Lineage: Eukaryota; Metazoa; Chordata; Mammalia; Primates; Cebidae.